GGUCAAGUGAAGAAGCGCAUACGGUGGAUGCCUUGGCAGUCAGAGGCGAUGAAAGACGUGGUAGCCUGCGAAAAGCUUCGGGGAGUCGGCAAACAGACUUUGAUCCGGAGAUCUCUGAAUGGGGGAACCCACCUAGGAUAACCUAGGUAUCUUGUACUGAAUCCAUAGGUGCAAGAGGCGAACCAGGGGAACUGAAACAUCUAAGUACCCUGAGGAAAAGAAAUCAACCGAGAUUCCCUUAGUAGUGGCGAGCGAACGGGGAUUAGCCCUUAAGCUUCAUUGAUUUUAGCGGAACGCUCUGGAAAGUGCGGCCAUAGUGGGUGAUAGCCCCGUACGCGAAAGGAUCUUUGAAGUGAAAUCGAGUAGGACGGAGCACGAGAAACUUUGUCUGAACAUGGGGGGACCAUCCUCCAAGGCUAAAUACUACUGACUGACCGAUAGUGAACCAGUACCGUGAGGGAAAGGCGAAAAGAACCCCGGAGAGGGGAGUGAAAUAGAACCUGAAACCGUAUGCGUACAAGCAGUGGGAGCCUACUUGUUAGGUGACUGCGUACCUUUUGUAUAAUGGGUCAGCGACUUAUAUUCAGUGGCAAGCUUAACCGUAUAGGGUAGGCGUAGCGAAAGCGAGUCUUAAUAGGGCGUUUAGUCGCUGGGUAUAGACCCGAAACCGGGCGAUCUAUCCAUGAGCAGGUUGAAGGUUAGGUAACACUGACUGGAGGACCGAACCCACUCCCGUUGAAAAGGUAGGGGAUGACUUGUGGAUCGGAGUGAAAGGCUAAUCAAGCUCGGAGAUAGCUGGUUCUCCUCGAAAGCUAUUUAGGUAGCGCCUCAUGUAUCACUCUGGGGGGUAGAGCACUGUUUCGGCUAGGGGGUCAUCCCGACUUACCAAACCGAUGCAAACUCCGAAUACCCAGAAGUGCCGAGCAUGGGAGACACACGGCGGGUGCUAACGUCCGUCGUGAAAAGGGAAACAACCCAGACCGCCAGCUAAGGUCCCAAAGUUGUGGUUAAGUGGUAAACGAUGUGGGAAGGCUUAGACAGCUAGGAGGUUGGCUUAGAAGCAGCCAUCNNNNNNNNNNNNNNNNNNNNNNNNNNNNNNNNNNNNNNNNNNNNNNNNNNNNNNNNNNNNNNNNNNNNNNNNNNNNNNNNNNNNNNNNNNNNNNNNCGCUGGCUGGUCGAAGAUACCAGGCCGCUGCGACUGUUUAUUAAAAACACAGCACUCUGCAAACACGAAAGUGGACGUAUAGGGUGUGACGCCUGCCCGGUGCCGGAAGGUUAAUUGAUGGGGUUAGCGCAAGCGAAGCUCUUGAUCGAAGCCCCGGUAAACGGCGGCCGUAACUAUAACGGUCCUAAGGUAGCGAAAUUCCUUGUCGGGUAAGUUCCGACCUGCACGAAUGGCGUAACGAUGGCGGCGCUGUCUCCACCCGAGACUCAGUGAAAUUGAAAUCGCUGUGAAGAUGCAGUGUAUCCGCGGCUAGACGGAAAGACCCCGUGAACCUUUACUGUAGCUUUGCACUGGACUUUGAGCCUGCUUGUGUAGGAUAGGUGGGAGGCUUUGAAGCGUGGACGCCAGUUCGCGUGGAGCCAUCCUUGAAAUACCACCCUGGCAUGCUUGAGGUUCUAACUCUGGUCCGUGAUCCGGAUCGAGGACAGUGUAUGGUGGGCAGUUUGACUGGGGCGGUCUCCUCCUAAAGAGUAACGGAGGAGUACGAAGGUGCGCUCAGACCGGUCGGAAAUCGGUCGCAGAGUAUAAAGGCAAAAGCGCGCUUGACUGCGAGACAGACACGUCGAGCAGGUACGAAAGUAGGUCUUAGUGAUCCGGUGGUUCUGUAUGGAAGGGCCAUCGCUCAACGGAUAAAAGGUACUCCGGGGAUAACAGGCUGAUACCGCCCAAGAGUUCAUAUCGACGGCGGUGUUUGGCACCUCGAUGUCGGCUCAUCACAUCCUGGGGCUGAAGCCGGUCCCAAGGGUAUGGCUGUUCGCCAUUUAAAGUGGUACGCGAGCUGGGUUUAGAACGUCGUGAGACAGUUCGGUCCCUAUCUGCCGUGGACGUUUGAGAUUUGAGAGGGGCUGCUCCUAGUACGAGAGGACCGGAGUGGACGAACCUCUGGUGUUCCGGUUGUCACGCCAGUGGCAUUGCCGGGUAGCUAUGUUCGGAAAAGAUAACCGCUGAAAGCAUCUAAGCGGGAAACUUGCCUCAAGAUGAGAUCUCACUGGGAACUUGAUUCCCCUGAAGGGCCGUCGAAGACUACGACGUUGAUAGGCUGGGUGUGUAAGCGUUGUGAGGCGUUGAGCUAACCAGUACUAAUUGCCCGUGAGGCUUGACCAU
Molecule: ribosomal RNA, 2329 nt
Filed under: Pseudomonas aeruginosa
Lineage: Bacteria; Pseudomonadati; Pseudomonadota; Gammaproteobacteria; Pseudomonadales; Pseudomonadaceae
Description: 23S ribosomal RNA
Rfam family: Bacterial large subunit ribosomal RNA
Source: RNAcentral